Dama dama (fallow deer) is the source of this 720-nucleotide long non-coding RNA. RefSeq lists it as uncharacterized. The transcript has 3 exons. NCBI's taxonomy places the organism in Eukaryota, Metazoa, Chordata, Mammalia, Artiodactyla, Cervidae. The record is from RefSeq and is a predicted model, not a curated record.
UACUCUUCUGUGCCUUGUGUGCAGGACAUUUCAAAGGCCACGUGUCCAGGGUGCCGGUGCGGAUCAGAGGUCCCACGCAUAACGGAGAAGACUCUCACGGUAGUUCUGAUGCCGCCUGUCAGACUCUGCAUGCACUGCCUCCAUAACUGGAGCGGGCCUCAGCCCUGCCAGGAACAUUGGCCUGGCUCACAGAAAACCCAUAUACUCCCGGAGGUGAAGGGCUUAUCCAGGAUUCAAAACUUAGAUUUGGAAGGCCAUGUCCUUGUCCCCAGAGUGUUGCCUUCACCCAUCACAUUUGCACAGGGCUUUGGUUCUAAGUGGGCCCAGAGGAAGGAAAUGAACCAGAGUUGAGACCUUGUAAUGCAGUUCCUGGAAAACCUCUGCCCAGGGGCUCUCCUGGUCCCCUCCCAUCGCUUCACCUGGAUGCCCCCUCCACCAACACCCUACAGAUGCCCAGUCUUGGUCCUCUGACAUACUCACUCAGAUUGUCCUCCUUAUGUGGGUGAGCAUCACUGAAGCAGUUGAAGGCCUGAAUAGAAGACUGACUCUGCAGAGUAAGACAGAAUUAUCCAUCAGCCUACUUCAGACCUCACCUGCCUACAUCAGUUCUUCCUGCCUGAUGGCCUUCAAAUCAAAAUACUGGUUCUCUGUGGGUCUCCAGCCUGCCUGCUUGACUCCGUAAUUGUGAGCCAAUUUCUCAUGAUAAAUCAUGAUAUGAGC